This is a long non-coding RNA of Haliotis rubra (blacklip abalone), 154 nucleotides long. RefSeq lists it as uncharacterized. The record is from RefSeq and is a predicted model, not a curated record. NCBI's taxonomy places the organism in Eukaryota, Metazoa, Mollusca, Gastropoda, Lepetellida, Haliotidae. The transcript has 3 exons.
UUUCCGACAGCACUUUAGGUCUGUAACGAUGUAUCGAACAAUCGAUGGAUUGCAAUUGCUGAGUCUCCGAUGGCAAUUAAUCGAUGGCAGAAACGAAAAACUAUUAAUGCAUUGAUAGUAUGUAUGACUAUCAAUAGUUAAAUAAGUGACUUCC